AAAGGAUCGGUAAUGCAUUAGUUUAAAACUACGUUAUCUAUCUGAUAUUCCCAAUUCGAAAUUGAAGAUACUUUUUCUAGCUCUUGAGAACCUCU
Salvia splendens (bonfire salvia) is the source of this 95-nucleotide small nucleolar RNA. RefSeq annotates it as small nucleolar RNA snoR27. NCBI's taxonomy places the organism in Eukaryota, Viridiplantae, Streptophyta, Magnoliopsida, Lamiales, Lamiaceae. The record is from RefSeq and is a predicted model, not a curated record. The transcript has a single exon.